This 574-nucleotide ribosomal RNA is filed under the name Glyptothorax sp. MS-2016. Its description in RNAcentral is "partial small subunit ribosomal RNA". It matches the Rfam family "Bacterial large subunit ribosomal RNA", at positions 1844 to 2621 of the family's 2925-position model. The record is from RNAcentral. Lineage: Eukaryota; Metazoa; Chordata; Actinopteri; Siluriformes; Sisoridae.
UAUAGGGAGGUCUUGCCUGCCCAGUGACAAUGUUAAACGGCCGCGGUAUUUUGACCGUGCGAAGGUAGCGCAAUCACUUGUCUUUUAAAUGAAGACCUGUAUGAAUGGUGAAACGAGGGCUUAACUGUCUCCCUUUUCUAGUCAAUGAAAUUGAUCUGCCCGUGCAGAAGCGGACAUAAUAAUACAAGACGAGAAGACCCUUUGGAGCUUAAGAUAUAAAGAUCAUCUAUGUCAAUGGGCCCCAACACGGCAACAAACUAAAUAGCAACUGAUCUUAAUCUUCGGUUGGGGCGACCACGGGAGAAAAUAAAGCUCCCACGCGGAAUGGGGUAAACCCUAAAACCAAGAAAAACAUUUCUAAGCAACAGAACUUCUGACCAUUAAGAUCCGGCUACACGCCGACCAACGGACCAAGUUACCCUAGGGAUAACAGCGCAAUCCCCUUUCAGAGUCCAUAUCGACAAGGGGGUUUACGACCUCGAUGUUGGAUCAGGACAUCCUAAUGGUGCAGCCGCUAUUAAGGGUUCGUUUGUUCAACGAUUAAAGUCCUACGUGAUCUGAGUUCAGACCGGAA